ACCUACCUUAUAGUAAGGGAUAGCCCAGAGAAAUUUGGAUUAAUACCUUAUAGUAUCUUAAGUGAGCCUUCACUAAGGAUUAAAGAUUUAUCGCUAUAAGAUGGCUAUGCGUUCUAUUAGCUAGUUGGUAUGGUAACGGCAUACCAAGGCUACGAUAGAUAGGGGUCCUGAGAGGGAGAUCCCCCACACUGGUACUGAGACACGGACCAGACUCCUACGGGAGGCAGCAGUGAGGAAUAUUGGACAAUGGAGGCAACUCUGAUCCAGCCAUGCCGCGUGUAGGAAGACUGCCCUAUGGGUUGUAAACUACUUUUAUAGAGGAAGAAACCAUUCCACGUGUGGAAUGCUGACGGUACUCUACGAAUAAGGAUCGGCUAACUCCGUGCCAGCAGCCGCGGUAAUACGGAGGAUCCAAGCGUUAUCCGGAAUCAUUGGGUUUAAAGGGUCCGUAGGCGGUUUAGUAAGUCAGUGGUGAAAGUUUUCGGCUCAACCGGAAAAUUGCCAUUGAUACUGCAAGACUUGAAUUAUUGUGAAGUGGUUAGAAUGUGUAGUGUAGCGGUGAAAUGCAUAGAUAUUACACAGAAUACCGAUUGCGAAGGCAGAUCACUAACAAUUAAUUGACGCUAAGGGACGAAAGCGUGGGUAGCGAACAGGAUUAGAUACCCUGGUAGUCCACGCCGUAAACGAUGGUUACUAGCUGUUCGGACUUCGGUCUGAGUGGCUAAGCGAAAGUGAUAAGUAACCCACCUGGGGAGUACGUUCGCAAGAAUGAAACUCAAAGGAAUUGACGGGGGCCCGCACAAGCGGUGGAGCAUGUGGUUUAAUUCGAUGAUACGCGAGGAACCUUACCAGGGCUUAAAUGUAGAUUGACAGGUUUAGAGAUAGACUUUUCUUCGGACAAUUUAC
This 906-nucleotide ribosomal RNA is filed under the name Aquimarina sp. RNAcentral describes it as "bacterial SSU rRNA". It matches the Rfam family "Bacterial small subunit ribosomal RNA", at positions 124 to 1034 of the family's 1533-position model. Lineage: Bacteria; Pseudomonadati; Bacteroidota; Flavobacteriia; Flavobacteriales; Flavobacteriaceae. The record is from RNAcentral.